CGUUAACUCUGGCGGUAGGCCUAACACAUGCAAGUCGAACGGCAGCACAGUAAGAGCUUGCUCUUACGGGUGGCGAGUGGCGGACGGGUGAGGAAUACAUCGGAAUCUACUUUUUCGUGGGGGAUAACGUAGGGAAACUUACGCUAAUACCGCAUACGACCUACGGGUGAAAGCAGGGGAUCUUCGGACCUUGCGCGAUUGAAUGAGCCGAUGUCGGAUUAGCUAGUUGGCGGGGUAAAGGCCCACCAAGGCGACGAUCCGUAGCUGGUCUGAGAGGAUGAUCAGCCACACUGGAACUGAGACACGGUCCAGACUCCUACGGGAGGCAGCAGUGGGGAAUAUUGGACAAUGGGCGCAAGCCUGAUCCAGCCAUACCGCGUGGGUGAAGAAGGCCUUCGGGUUGUAAAGCCCUUUUGUUGGGAAAGAAAAGCAGCAGGUUAAUACCCCGCUGUUCUGACGGUACCCAAAGAAUAAGCACCGGCUAACUUCGUG
RNAcentral lists this ribosomal RNA (492 nucleotides) under uncultured bacterium. Its description in RNAcentral is "partial 16S ribosomal RNA". It matches the Rfam family "Bacterial small subunit ribosomal RNA", at positions 29 to 507 of the family's 1533-position model. The record is from RNAcentral.